Molecule: long non-coding RNA, 4506 nt
Organism: Gallus gallus (chicken)
Lineage: Eukaryota; Metazoa; Chordata; Aves; Galliformes; Phasianidae
Source: Ensembl
ACUCCUGUAACUGCAGCCACCAGUAACAUCUGGCUUCUCUCAUUACAGACUUACUCCCAGUAGUGUUCAACAGUCCCUACUGGCAUUAUUUCUCUGCUAGGACUCUUCAAAGGUUUGGGGUGUUCUGACACAGUGAAACAAGUAUCACACUGCCAGGAAACGUGGAUGCCAUGGCUGGAUGCCCUAUUCAAAACCUCUGUUCAUGAACAAGAAGGCCAGAGGUGCAGAGCAGCAGACACAAUCCCUGGUUUUAUUAUAAAACAGUGCUAUCCCAUUGUAACAUAUCACGUUUAUUUUAGUCAAGCAAGACAACAUACGCACAGCAUAAACUCAUCCAGCGCUCUGCAUCAUUGAUUGGAUAUCACAGAACUACAGAACAGCAGGGGCUGGAAGGGAACUCAAGAGAUCAUCGAGUCCAACCCUUCUGUAAAGCAGGCUCCCUACAAUAGGUUGCACAGCUCCCCUUUAGAUAGUAACAGGCCGCUCUCAGGUCACCUCGAAGCCUUCUCUUCUCCACUCUGCACAGCCCCAUAGGAGAGGUGUUCCACCUCUGGGAUCAUUUUUGUGGCCCUCCUCUGGACACACCCCAACAGCUCCAUGUCUCUCCUGUACUGAGGACUCCACAUCUGGAUGCAGUACUUCUGGAAUUCCUAAAAUAACUGGAACAAUAGCAGAAAAAGAUGGAGAAAUGAACAUACUCAAUCCAGCAAAAUCAGAAAAUUAAACUUGGAAGGUUUACUUAUUUUGCCAUUCCUCUUUAAUGGGAUCUAGAUAUUUCCUCCCAGCUGACUGCACACAGUGUCUCCCUCCUCCCAGACUCUAUGCCACAACCUCCAGGCUUCUUGUCUUGGCUUCCACCUGAGCUAUUCCCCCAGCCACUGCCACCUUUUCCUCUUCAUCUAGUAAAGGCAACUCUGCUCACUAGUAAAUUCAAAGCAAUUUUCUAAAAUGAGAAUUGGAUUUAUAUGGCCCCUGUCAUCCACUGCACAGGUUUAUGUAUAAUCUAGUAAUUUCCAAGGGAGCCUGAGAAUAUUCAUGAUAAAAUUCACUACAUAAAUAAUGUAUUAUUUAUUUAAAUCCAAAUCAAUGAUAUCUGAUGUUCAGAGGGUUGUGACAAUUUUCUUACAAGCUGUAAUUAAUCUUUUUAGGAGCAACCAAGCAACUUCCCUAAAAUUGUUUAGCCAGUUUUUGACCAAACCUCAGGAAUAUAGGUCAAAUUGAAUUACCACAAUUACCCUUUGCUCUCUGCUUCAUUCUGUGUUUCAGUCAUUCACUUGUCACUGUGGAGCAUUAUUUAAAGAAGAAAAGCUUUCCAUUCUGUCUGGGCAUAAAAGACUCGGUGAAAAAGAAUGCAUUUUUAUUUUGGGGUUGCCCUUACCUUCAUUUCCUUUCACUCUUUAUCUGCACAUUGCUAUGGCAAUGUUACUAAGGCAGGAAGACAGAUGUCAACUGGCUGUUUUAGGAAAAUAACAAGCAAGCAUCUACAUGAAAUUUCUAUGCAAACCUAUUAGGACCCAAACUUUCUGAGGAUUUUCCUUCUUCCCACUGGAUACACAGCAAAUUUCCACUCCAUGUUUGGUCUCAUCCCCUUUUUAUUAGCUUGCAUAGAAUUUGUGGGAUGUUUGCUUUCCUUUAGCACAGUGCAAGCUUGGUGGAGGAGGACAGUGCUUUACUGCAAUUACCCAUGGGCAUCAAUUAGUUUCUCUUCUUUCAUCUACAUUCUCCUGGUAUGCAGUAAUGAUGCUUUGGUCACGCUGAAGAACAGAUAUUAUCAUUAGGACUCUCAAAUACAUAAACAUUUCUGUCCACCUCGAGAGAGUAAUGCGAGGAAUAAACGCGAACUGGAGCUCAAGUGCAUUGUACCACAGCUGCAGGGUUAAAUACGUAUGCGGGUUAUUUUUCUGCUUCAUCACACAGUUCUGUGAGUAAUAUAGUUCAGAACUGAUGUUGCGUCACCUUGUGGAAUUCACAGCUACACAGCAUCAGUCAGAGCCAGAUCAAACCUACUGCUCGAGGCAAUGACUUUUUGGUCUCAGCUUGCCAUGUUUCAGAAAUGUGGUUUCUUUGCACAAGCUAGACUUACUGGACUAGAAAAUUCAUCAAGCUGUUCCUUUCAAUUAGCCAUCACGAUGCACAGAAUGAGUUUCAGCACUUCCCAGCAUUCCAUACAGGCUUCUGAAGAUCAUUUUGAAGUAGGCAAAGCCAGAGGGAGGAUCAGGUAGGUCACUGCCAUUAAAAACACUUUAAUCGGCUUCUGUGGAAGUGAAACUGCUGAUUGCUCAUUAAUGCACCCACCAUCUUUCCAUAUUCAAGAUUACUUUGAAAUCAGAUCUUGACAUAUCUACUCCCUUUACUUUUGUACUUUCUGCUCAAGUGAGAGCAUGAGAAACUCAUUUAUUCAGCAUCCCCUUCCAUGGUCUUAGUAGGAAGCAAAUGUGUCAAUUUUAUUCUUGAUUGAUACCAUGUCAGUUGAGGUUAUGAGUGCAUAUAUUUACUGUCUGGAAAACUGAGAAGCUCUGGAAAAGAAACAAAUCAAACUGAAAAAAUGUCAAGCUAAAACCUAUGCAUGCAUAAUAAAUCAAAAUACUGAUCAUAGAAUCAUAGUAUCGUAGAAUUGCUCAGGUCGGAAAAGACCUUAAAGAUCAUUGAGGCCAACCACAACCUGACCAUCCUACCCUAACUCUAACAACCCUCCACUAAGGCAUGUCCCUGAGCACCACAUCCAAACGGCUUUUAAACGCAUGCAGGGAUGGUGACUCAACCACCUCCCUGGGGAGCCCAUUCCAGCCCUUAACAACCCUUUCUGUAAGGAAGCGUUUCCUGAUAUCCAACCUAAACUUACCCUGGCACAACUUGAGGCCCUUUCCCCUCAUCCUGUCACCUGUCAGCAGUGAGAAGAGACCAACCCUGAUACUGAAAUAAAGCUGAUUAGUUUACUAAGAUACAUAGCAGAGAAGCAUAGUAAGCAUAUACAUGCUUGGGUCCUGCAUCUCACUGAGGGACAAAGAAAGAGACAUUGUUUGUAAGCAAAAUGAUAGAAGCAAGACUUCAAGGUAACCUUCAGACUAACAGAAAUAGCAGGCAAGAGGAAGAACUCUGGGGGGGGGAAAAAGAAAAAAAGCCUUCUAAAAGACUAUCAUCAUGUGUGCCAGUUUAGCCAGGGUAAAGCAAGGGGAAAAUGAAUUAUGCCGAUGCAAAUAUCUGAAUAUAAGAAACAUCAAUGAUGGGCUGAAACACUAAGGCUGCUACAUUGAACAAUAAAAUGAAAUUAAAGUAAGAGCCCUUACUAUGCUUAUUACAAGAAGAAAAAUUAUGGUAAAUUAUGUUAGGCUAUGGAAAAUGUCACAAACAAAAACUAAAAGUGAAAGUGUUUAGAGAAGGAAAAGAGCAAUGUUGGGUCUUUUUUUAAUGUAAAGUCAUUCUGAAGGAGAAAUAGCAAUGUAGAAAUUAGCACACAACACUGAUCUUACAGCAUUUUUGUCAAAAUCUUUUUGUCUACUGCAACAGCGAAUGUGUUCAAAAACUGCAGUAAUGUAAAUGUAGCAGUGGUAACCGCAGCCAAUAACCAUUUUGUUAAUAAGAUGGAAUCUUGGCAGGUCCUUGUAAACACUGACACACUUUUCCAUUUGAUGUAGACAUUGAGAAAUGCAACUUCAGGCUAUUUAUGCAACUUUUAAAAGCGAAAGUUUUAGGCAGUAUUCUCUCAGUUUCAGCCUCCCUGCUAAUAUGCCAAGGGAAGGCAGGCCCACAGUAAUUAGAGCAGCGGGGUGCUCUCAUUAAUCACCACCCUAACGGCAUAGCAGCGUGCCCAAAAUGCUGCAACAGAUCAGUGUCUGCAGCCAAGCCGUCCCUUCAGCUCUGUGGGAUGCAGGAUUCAGCACAGGGACUGUAUCAGAAGAAAUUCUCAAUAUUUUUAAACCAUCCACAGCCAUUUUCAUUAACCAACGCAUUAUGAUUGAAACAGUGACAGCGUGACAAAGGCUGCAGAUUUUCAGAUAGGUGUGCGGAACAAAAUGGUAGAAAGCCUGCAGCAUGUCUGUACAUACAAUUAAAAUGAACAGACUACAAAGACAGAUGUAGUCCCCCCUGACCUUAAUGAUGUUGAUGUGUACAUAUGAACCUUCCCACUCAGCUGCUGAUAAGGAAUGACAGACAAUACUACAAAUUAGUGAAGGUCAAUAGAGCAGGAGGCAGCAGUUAGUCAAUUACAAAUGCAAACCCUCUCCUAAAGCGCCAAGUUCUGUGUUUUCUCAGUAUAAUCAACUGCCUGAGUCACAGAGUGUAAUAAAAUUGACCUGUUUUUCCUUUGUCUAAUUGACUGAUGCCUGGAAUUGCAUGAACUUUAGGUGUGCUAGAAUUUAAGCCUGUAUUCAUGUAGCAAAAGGCAGACAUCUAAUUAGUCUGUCUUUGUGUCUAAUGGCUGUUUCUGCAAUGUACUGGUCCAUCCAACCAUGACAAAGUCUUUGCUUUGAAGGUGUUUGCAAAAUAAUAAUAAAAAAAAUUGUU